Molecule: long non-coding RNA, 930 nt
Filed under: Daucus carota (carrot)
Lineage: Eukaryota; Viridiplantae; Streptophyta; Magnoliopsida; Apiales; Apiaceae
Description: long non-coding RNA (DCAR_LNC002776)
Source: RNAcentral
UCCACGAUCAGUAUAGUAUCUAAUCUCUAUUUCCUUUUGCUCUUCCACCAUCAUAACAACCUGUUAAUUUUUCACCUGGAAUCACAAGAUCAUUAAUAGUGCAACAAAUCUUUGUAAAAUUGUUCUCCUUGUUUGUGACUGUUGUUCUUAAUUUCAUGCGUGAAGUACAACAUAUAUCACUGAACCUAAUUUAGACAGACAUAUAUUUUCAUUAUAGCUUUUGUACUAAAGAAAUUCUUCUUAUCCCAAGGUUGAAGAACAAAGAAACGAUACACAGAAAGACGUCAUUCUUAACUAGAAAAGGCGUUCAGCUUUGACUAAAAAUGAGUACCUGGAAAACUGGUACAAAAAUAAUAAGAAAGUCUUUUACAAUGUUAUCCGUCUCCCAGCCUUCAAGCUGCAAUAAAAGGCCACAUCAAGCAUCAGAUAUGCAGCGUUUCUAUAGCUAGAAUUACAAAGCACUUCUGGUAGACUGUAAAACCAGCUAACAUCAGCAUCAAAGCAUGCCUUAGAGGCCUUAAUUUAAACUCCCCUGCAGAACAACUAACCCACUCAUCAGUCACUGAGAAUUCAACACCAUGGUCUACUUUAUCUGCCCCUGCACUCAGUACCCCGAAUCGCAGCAGGUAGAUGCCCAUAUCCACAACAAAAGGGCUUGAAUAUGCCUCAACUAGUCGUGUUCAUUCACCAACAUCUACGUUAGCACUUGCUUCUAAUCAGUGGUCUCUCUACUUGCAAAAAAACACAAGCAUGUGCAUCAACUCCAGUUUAGUUGCCUCAUCUAAAUCAGACCUUAAAUAUUUCUCUCGAUCACCUCCAGAGAUGCCACAAAGAACAAUAUGCUAGUUCCGGCACAACUUGUGUUCCCACGUUGAAUUAUAGUUGCCAAAAUACAAUAUGCUAGUUCUGGCACAACUUGUGUCCUGAUCA